UACGAAGGGGGCUAGCGUUGUUCGGAAUCAUUGGGCGUAAAGGGCGCGUAGGUGGCGGGACAAGCGUGCGGUGAAAGCCUGGGGCUCAACCCCGGGUCGGCCGUGCGAACUGUUUUGCUUGAGCACUGUAGAGGCAGGCGGAAUUCCGGGUGUAGCGGUGGAAUGCGUAGAGAUCCGGAAGAACACCGGUGGCGAAGGCGGCCUGCUGGGCAGUAGCUGACACUGAGGCGCGACAGCGUGGGGAGCAAACAGG
This 253-nucleotide ribosomal RNA is filed under the name uncultured bacterium. RNAcentral describes it as "partial 16S ribosomal RNA". It matches the Rfam family "Bacterial small subunit ribosomal RNA", at positions 524 to 776 of the family's 1533-position model. The record is from RNAcentral.